ACAGGUUAAUAUUCCUGUACUUGGUGUUACUGCGAAGGGGGGACGGAGAAGGCUAUGUUGGCCGGGCGACGGUUGUCCCGGUUUAAGCGUGUAGGCUGGUUUUCCAGGCAAAUCCGGAAAACCAAGGCUGAGGCGUGAUGACGAGGCACUACGGUGCUGAAGUGACAAAUGCCCUGCUUCCAGGAAAAGCCUCUAAGCAUCAGGUAACAUCAAAUCGUACCCCAAACCGACACAGGUGGUCAGGUAGAGAAUACCAAGGCGCUUGAGAGAACUCGGGUGAAGGAACUAGGCAAAAUGGUGCCGUAACUUCGGGAGAAGGCACGCUGAUAUGUAGGUGAAGCGACUUGCUCGUGGAGCUGAAAUCAGUCGAAGAUACCAGCUGGCUGCAACUGUUUAUUAAAAACACAGCACUGUGCAAACACGAAAGUGGACGUAUACGGUGUGACGCCUGCCCGGUGCCGGAAGGUUAAUUGAUGGGGUUAGCGGUAACGCGAAGCUCUUGAUCGAAGCCCCGGUAAACGGCGGCCGUAACUAUAACGGUCCUAAGGUAGCGAAAUUCCUUGUCGGGUAAGUUCCGACCUGCACGAAUGGCGUAAUGAUGGCCAGGCUGUCUCCACCCGAGACUCAGUGAAAUUGAACUCGCUGUGAAGAUGCAGUGUACCCGCGGCAAGACGGAAAGACCCCGUGAACCUUUACUAUAGCUUGACACUGAACAUUGAGCCUUGAUGUGUAGGAUAGGUGGGAGGCUUUGAAGUGUGGACGCCAGUCUGCAUGGAGCCGACCUUGAAAUACCACCCUUUAAUGUUUGAUGUUCUAACGUUGGCCCCUAAUCGGGGUUGCGGACAGUGUCUGGUGGGUAGUUUGACUGGGGCGGUCUCCUCCUAAAGAGUAACGGAGGAGCACGAAGGUUGGCUAAUCCUGGUCGGACAUCAGGAGGUUAGUGCAAUGGCAUAAGCCAGCUUGACUGCGAGCGUGACGGCGCGAGCAGGUGCGAAAGCAGGUCAUAGUGAUCCGGUGGUUCUGAAUGGAAGGGCCAUCGCUCAACGGAUAAAAGGUACUCCGGGGAUAACAGGCUGAUACCGCCCAAGAGUUCAUAUCGACGGCGGUGUUUGGCACCUCGAUGUCGGCUCAUCACAUCCUGGGGCUGAAGUAGGUCCCAAGGGUAUGGCUGUUCGCCAUUUAAAGUGGUACGCGAGCUGGGUUUAGAACGUCGUGAGACAGUUCGGUCCCUAUCUGCCGUGGGCGCUGGAGAACUGAGGGGGGCUGCUCCUAGUACGAGAGGACCGGAGUGGACGCAUCACUGGUGUUCGGGUUGUCAUGCCAAUGGCACUGCCCGGUAGCUAAAUGCGGAAGAGAUAAGUGCUGAAAGCAUCUAAGCACGAAACUUGCCCCGAGAUGAGUUCUCCCUGAGACUUAGAGUCUCCUGAAGGAACGUUGAAGACGACGACGUUGAUAGGCCGGGUGUGUAAGCGCAGCGAUGCGUUGAGCUAACCGGUACUAAUGAACCGUGAGGCUUAACC
RNAcentral lists this ribosomal RNA (1520 nucleotides) under human gut metagenome. RNAcentral's name for it is "bacterial LSU rRNA". It matches the Rfam family "Bacterial large subunit ribosomal RNA", at positions 1422 to 2925 of the family's 2925-position model. The record is from RNAcentral.